This 253-nucleotide ribosomal RNA is filed under the name uncultured bacterium. RNAcentral's name for it is "partial 16S ribosomal RNA". It matches the Rfam family "Bacterial small subunit ribosomal RNA", at positions 524 to 776 of the family's 1533-position model. The record is from RNAcentral.
UACGUAGGGUGCGAGCGUUGUCCGGAAUUAUUGGGCGUAAAGAGCUCGUAGGCGGUUUGUCGCGUCUAUCGUGAAAACUGGAGGCUCAACCUUCAGCUUGCGGUGGAUACGGGCAGACUUGAGUUCGGUAGGGGAGACUGGAAUUCCUGGUGUAGCGGUGAAAUGCGCAGAUAUCAGGAGGAACACCGGUGGCGAAGGCGGGUCUCUGGAACGCAACUGACGCUGAGACGCGAAAGCGUGGGGAGCAAACAGG